Molecule: ribosomal RNA, 207 nt
Filed under: uncultured bacterium
Lineage: Bacteria
Description: partial 16S ribosomal RNA
Rfam family: Bacterial small subunit ribosomal RNA
Source: RNAcentral
AGCGUAGACGGAUGGACAAGUCUGAUGUGAAAGGCUGGGGCUCAACCCCGGGACUGCAUUGGAAACUGCCCGUCUUGAGUGCCGGAGAGGUAAGCGGAAUUCCUAGUGUAGCGGUGAAAUGCGUAGAUAUUAGGAGGAACACCAGUGGCGAAGGCGGCUUACUGGACGGUAACUGACACUGAGGCGCGAAAGCGUGGGGAGCAAACA